This 1110-nucleotide ribosomal RNA is filed under the name Lysinibacillus sphaericus. RNAcentral describes it as "bacterial SSU rRNA". It matches the Rfam family "Bacterial small subunit ribosomal RNA", at positions 369 to 1459 of the family's 1533-position model. Lineage: Bacteria; Bacillati; Bacillota; Bacilli; Caryophanales; Bacillaceae. The record is from RNAcentral.
GCAUGGGGGCGAGCCUGAUGGAGCACGCCGCGUGAGUGAAGAAGGAUUUCGGUUCGUAAAACUCUGUUGUAAGGGAAGAACAAGUACAGUAGUAACUGGCUGUACCUUGACGGUACCUUAUUAGAAAGCCACGGCUAACUACGUGCCAGCAGCCGCGGUAAUACGUAGGUGGCAAGCGUUGUCCGGAAUUAUUGGGCGUAAAGCGCGCGCAGGUGGUUUCUUAAGUCUGAUGUGAAAGCCCACGGCUCAACCGUGGAGGGUCAUUGGAAACUGGGAGACUUGAGUGCAGAAGAGGAUAGUGGAAUUCCAAGUGUAGCGGUGAAAUGCGUAGAGAUUUGGAGGAACACCAGUGGCGAAGGCGACUAUCUGGUCUGUAACUGACACUGAGGCGCGAAAGCGUGGGGAGCAAACAGGAUUAGAUACCCUGGUAGUCCACGCCGUAAACGAUGAGUGCUAAGUGUUAGGGGGUUUCCGCCCCUUAGUGCUGCAGCUAACGCAUUAAGCACUCCGCCUGGGGAGUACGGUCGCAAAGACUGAAACUCAAAAGGAAUUGACGGGGGCCCGCACCAAGCGGUGGAGCAUGUGGUUUAAUUUCGAAGCAACGCGAAGAACCUUACCAGGUCUUGACAUCCCGUUGACCCACUGUAGAAGAUAUGGUUUCCCCUUCGGGGGCAACGGUGACAGGUGGUGGCAUGGUUGGCGUCAGCUCGUGUCGUGAGAUGUUGGGUUAAGUCCCGCAACGAGCGCAACCCUUGAUCUUAGUUGCCAUCAUUUAGUUGGGCACUUUAAGGUGACUGCCGGUGACAAACCGGAGGAAGGUGGGGAUGACGUCAAAUCAUCAUGCCCCUUAUGACCUGGGCUACACACGUGCUACAAUGGACGAUACAAACGGUUGCCAACUCGCGAGAGGGAGCUAAUCCGAUAAAGUCGUUCUCAGUUCGGAUUGUAGGCUGCAACUCGCCUACAUGAAGCCGGAAUCGCUAGUAAUCGCGGAUCAGCAUGCCGCGGUGAAUACGUUCCCGGGCCUUGUACACACCGCCCGUCACACCACGAGAGUUUGUAACACCCGAAGUAAAAGGGAGGUAACCUUUUGGAGCCUAGGCCCCGCCU